Molecule: long non-coding RNA, 691 nt
Filed under: Homo sapiens (human)
Lineage: Eukaryota; Metazoa; Chordata; Mammalia; Primates; Hominidae
Description: novel transcript
Source: RNAcentral
GCUACAUUGAGGCCAGGUGCAGUGGCUCACACCUCUAAUCCCAGUUCUUUGGGAGGCUGAGGCCAGCGGAUCACGAAGUCAGGAGAUCAAGACCAUCCUGGACAACACGGUGAAACCCUGUCUCUUCAAAUAUACAAAGAAUUAACCAGAGAAGCAGGGAAUCUGGAAUUUUGGGUGAAAUGUCUGUUUCCAGAAGCUGAAAAUGCUCUCAAAUGGAAAAUUCAGGGUCAGAAUGGCCUGGGGUACUGCACACUUCCUGCCAGGAAUAGAAGGCCCCACAGCUAUAGGACCUCUCUUCCGUUUAGUUCUUUGGAAGGAUGAGCAAAUUAUUCAGCCUCUCUGAGCCUCAGUUUUCUCAUCCAUAAAAUGAGGACAGUACACCAACCUCGCAGGUCACAAGGAUGUUAUGAAAUCAGAGUGCAGUGAAUAGAAGACACUUCUCUGCACCCCAAAAGCUCCAUGCUGAUUGCGAGAAGGAAAUGCUGGAUGGAGGGGUUCCUGGAACUACUGUGAGGGAAAUGGUAACAGAACUUUGGAUGUGGAACGUGCAGUAGGAGUUACACGAAGUGCGGGUCUGCACUUGGGGUGGUCAGCACGGCGGAUGCCCAGCAAACGCACUGCCUGGUCCACAUCCCGGAGUGGUCUCUACGCCCCAGUCGGCAUCGCAGCUGAUGGUGAAACUUUUGGUGUG